Peromyscus maniculatus bairdii (prairie deer mouse) is the source of this 1110-nucleotide non-coding RNA. The record is from the annotation of a RefSeq genome assembly. NCBI's taxonomy places the organism in Eukaryota, Metazoa, Chordata, Mammalia, Rodentia, Cricetidae.
AUGCAAAAGGAGAACGCAGGUCAGUGUGAAGACCAAGACGGGAAGACAUGGAAAGCCGAGGCUGAGCUCACCAGGGUCUCCUCAGUGCGACUGCACCAUAGCAAAGUGCUGAUCAGCCAGGGCAGGACAGGCCAGAGCUGCCCACACUACGUGCCUGGAAGCAGCUCAGUGACCGUGUCCUCCAGCACCUGGCCCAGCCAGCCCGUCAUCUGCAACGUAGCCCACCCGGCCAGCAACACCAAGGUGGACAAGAAAAUUGGCCCAGAAGUAUCAUCUGUCUUCAUCUUCCCCCCAAAGCCCAAGGACGUGCUCACGAUCUCUCUGAGUCCCAAGAUCACGUGUGUGGUGGUGGACAUUAGCCAGGAUGAUCCCGAUGUCCAGUUUAGCUGGUUUAUAGAUGACAUAGAAGUACACACAGCUCAGACGGAACCCCGGGAGGAGCAGUUCAACAGCACCUUCCGCGUAGUCAGUGUCCUCCCCAUCCUGCACCAGGACUGGUUGAAUGGCAAGGAGUUCAAAUGCAAGGUCAACAGCGCGGCCUUCCCCGCCCCCAUCGAGAAAACCAUCUCCAAGAAGAAAGGGCAAAUCCGGGCUCCACAAGUAUACGUCAUGCCACCGCCCAAGGAGCAGAUGACCAAGAAUCAAGUCUCUGUCACCUGCAUGGUAACAGGCUUCUACCCUAGUGACAUUGAUGUGGAAUGGCAGAAGAAUGGACAGCCAGAGCAGAACUACAAGAACACCCUGCCUGUCUUGGAUGAGGAUGAGACUUACUUCCUCUACAGCAAGCUCAAUGUAAAGAGGAGCGAUUGGGAGGCACAGAAUACUUUCACCUGCUCUGUGGUCCACGAGGCCCUGCACAACCAUCACACAGAGAAGAUUCUCUCCCACGCUCCUGAGCUGGAACUGGACGACAACUGUGCUGAGGCCCAGGACGGGGAGCUGGACGGGCUCUGGACGACCAUCACCGUCUUCAUCAGCCUCUUCCUGCUCAGCGUGUGCUACAGUGCCACUGUCACACUCUUCAAGGUGAAGUGGAUCUUCUCCUCAGUGGUGGGGCUGAAGCAGACACUGGCUCCCGACUACAAGAACAUGAUUGGACAAGGGCCUUAG